UUUCACUUUGUUAAUGAUGUUAAAAUUGAUAAUAGUUACAGGUCUGAUCAUUCACCUGUGGUCUUUUCUUUCAAGAUUAAUGAAUUUAUAAAAGGCAGAGGCCUUUGGAAGUUUAAUAAUUCCUUUCUUCAUGAUACUGACUAUGUUAAAGAGAUAAAAAAAAAAAAAAACCCAAAAAAAACCUCAUAAGUAUAGUAAAAGAACAAUAUGCCGUCAAGAUAUAUAGAGAUGAAAAUUUACAAAAUAUUGACAACUCUGAAAUUGAAUUUACUGUUGAUGACCAGUUAUUUUUAGAAACUCUACUCACAGAAAUACGCGGUAAAACUAUUUCAUAUGCCUCUUAUAAAAAAAAAGGCGGGUAUAAAAAUUGAAAAUGAAAUUAUUUCAAAAUUAAAACAAUUAGAAGAAAAUGCUCUAACAGUAGAAAAUCUGGAAGAGAUUGAUCAGAAAAAAGCAGAACUUAAAAUGUAUAGACAAAAGAAGGUUCAGGGACAAUACAAUAUGUUAGGUCAAGAAGUCAGUGGAUUGAAGAAGGAG
This 537-nucleotide long non-coding RNA is filed under the name Mytilus galloprovincialis (Mediterranean mussel). Lineage: Eukaryota; Metazoa; Mollusca; Bivalvia; Mytilida; Mytilidae. The record is from RNAcentral.